AGGUAUCACUAGUGCUAUAUGCAUUGCAUAUCAUAGCUAAAUUGCCAGGCUUCACUCUCUCAGCCGGAUAAAGUGAGGUGUUGCUGGGUUAGACUUGGAAUCCAAACACAAGUUUAUUUGUAAAUCAGCAUAUAUAAGAAUAUGCAGCUAGUUUGUUGAUUGAAGAUGACAUGUAAUAGAGUUACUUGCCAAAUAGUGCCCCCUCUUCUUUAUGCUCAGUAUAACGUGCUUAUGCCAUGCUUCUAUUUCUUUGGACUUGAAGGUCCUCCAUCCACAGUCCAUGAGGCCAGCUAGGGAGGGUGAUAUUCCUGUGCGAGUUAAGAACUCGUACAAUCCAAAAGCUCCAGGAACCCUGAUUACUCGAGCAAGAGAUAUGAGUCAGGUUUGCAGCAUAAUGAUGUUGACAAACAAAACAUUGUUAAUGGAAUGGUCAAAAAGCUUACAUCUAUUCUUCUCCAUUUACAGGCGGUACUUACUAGCAUUGUCUUGAAACGGAAUGUAACAAUGUUGGAUAUUGUCAGCACCCGAAUGCUUGGUCAAUUUGGGUUUCUUGCGAAGGUGAGGCGCACAUGCUGCUUGCUUUUGCCUGGUUUGACAAGUAUUCCAAUUCUAAUGAAAUUUCCAUCUGUUCAGGUGUUUUCAAUCUUUGAAGAAUUAGGAAUAUCUGUGGAUGUUGUUGCAACUAGUGAAGUUAGUAUUUCCUUGACGUUGGAUCCUUCCAAGCUUUGGAGCAGAGAAUUGAUCCAGCAGGCAAGCGUAUGAAAUGGGGCAGGGCUUUUUUUAUUACCAAGGAUUUGUAUAAGCUUGAAAAAUAUUCCAUCAAUUUAUCGUUUCACUUUCACUUUGAAUUUUAGCUGUGGGCACGAGUCUUUCGUUUGCUCCACUAGAUGUCUUACCUUGUUUCUCACUUGUUGAGCAGGAACUAGAUCAUGUUGUGGAAGAACUCGAAAAAAUUGCAGUUGUGAAUCUUCUACAGCACCGAUCAAUCAUCUCUCUCAUAGGAAAUGUUCAGAGGUCAUCGCUAAUAGUAGAAAAGGUGCUA
This 1042-nucleotide long non-coding RNA is filed under the name Olea europaea (common olive). RNAcentral describes it as "long non-coding RNA (OEUR_LNC005673)". The record is from RNAcentral. Lineage: Eukaryota; Viridiplantae; Streptophyta; Magnoliopsida; Lamiales; Oleaceae.